CAGCCGCCGCGGUAAUACGAAGGGGGCUAGCGUUGCUCGGAAUGACUGGGCGUAAAGGGCGCGUAGGCGGCGGCCAAAGUCAGGCGUGAAAUUCCCGGGCUCAACCUGGGGGCUGCGUUUGAUACUUGGUUGCUUGAGUGGGGAAGAGGGUCGUGGAAUUCCCAGUGUAGAGGUGAAAUUCGUAGAUAUUGGGAAGAACACCGGUGGCGAAGGCGGCGACCUGGUCCUUUACUGACGCUGAGGCGCGAAAGCGUGGGGAGCAAACAGGAUUAGAGACCCCCGUAGUCCCUGUCUCUUAUAC
This 301-nucleotide ribosomal RNA is filed under the name uncultured bacterium. RNAcentral's name for it is "partial 16S ribosomal RNA". It matches the Rfam family "Bacterial small subunit ribosomal RNA", at positions 509 to 807 of the family's 1533-position model. The record is from RNAcentral.